Molecule: long non-coding RNA, 520 nt
Filed under: Triticum aestivum (bread wheat)
Lineage: Eukaryota; Viridiplantae; Streptophyta; Magnoliopsida; Poales; Poaceae
Description: long non-coding RNA (TAES_LNC004941)
Source: RNAcentral
AAAAGAUAAUUCAAACACAGGUAUGAUUUGUUUUUUUACAAAAUAUCAGGAACACUAAAGCAAGUAUCUAAGUUGUUUUUCUGAAACUUCUCUGCAAAAACUACAGAACCAUACAUAGGGAAGAAAUUUUAGAUGACUGACCCUAGUUAAAAAGACUAAAUGUUACAGCCACGAAAUUGCACUUUAUUCAUACCUUGUACUACACGCCGAGAACUUCUUUGUACCAUUUCUUUGUAAAAGUUGCAAUGAAGUUGAGUUGGCCAUCCUUUUGCUCAUUCAGGAGAGUAAGGUGCCCGUGCUGCAGUAUGGAACAAUAACAUGCAAAUGCCGAUUAACUGUAUUGUGAUAUUUCCUACUACAUGUCUUAGUCUUCUUACCUAUAUCGCCUCCGCCCAUCACUCAACUCAUGGCUCCAACUCACAGAUCUCCACCGUAGAACAUAUUUUCUCAUCACAUCCAGAACAUCCCUAGCCCAUUUCUACCAAAUACAACUACCAAAUACAAUAACCAUUGAUAGGCC